AGGCAGCCCCCUAGCAAAAAGCAAUUGAUAAGGGAGGUGUUAUUCUACUCGUAGAUGAAUUCUUUGGCUCUUCAGACCUGCUGAGAUUUUGUUAAUGACGCAGUUCUAGUAACGCUAAAGUACAUU
Molecule: non-coding RNA, 126 nt
Organism: Spinacia oleracea (spinach)
Lineage: Eukaryota; Viridiplantae; Streptophyta; Magnoliopsida; Caryophyllales; Amaranthaceae
Source: Rfam